RNAcentral lists this ribosomal RNA (478 nucleotides) under uncultured bacterium. RNAcentral describes it as "partial 16S ribosomal RNA". It matches the Rfam family "Bacterial small subunit ribosomal RNA", at positions 28 to 507 of the family's 1533-position model. The record is from RNAcentral.
GAUGAACACUGGCGGCGUGCUUAACACAUGCAAGUCGAACGAGAAGUGAAGACGGAAACCUUCGGGCGGAAGGCUUUAUUUCGAGUGGCGGACGGGUGAGUAACGCGUGGGUAACCUGCCUCAUACAGGGGGAUAACAGUUGGAAACGACUGUUAAUACCGCAUAAGACCACAGCACCGCAUGGUGCGGGGGUAAAAACUCCGGUGGUAUGAGAUGGACCCGCGUUCGAUUAGCCAGUUGGCGGGGUAACGGCCCACCAAAGCGACGAUCGAUAGCCGAUCUGAGAGGAUGACCGGCCACAUUGGGACUGAGACACGGCCCAAACUCCUACGGGAGGCAGCAGUGGGGAAUAUUGCACAAUGGGGGAAACCCUGAUGCAGCGACGCCGCGUGAGUGAAGAAGUAUUUCGGUAUGUAAAGCUUUAUCAGCAGGGAAGAAAAUGACGGUACCUGAGUAAGAAGCCCCGGCUAACUACGUG